This 501-nucleotide ribosomal RNA is filed under the name uncultured bacterium. RNAcentral describes it as "partial 16S ribosomal RNA". It matches the Rfam family "Bacterial small subunit ribosomal RNA", at positions 29 to 523 of the family's 1533-position model. The record is from RNAcentral.
AUUGAACGCUGGCGGAAUGCUUUACACAUGCAAGUCGAACGGCAGCACGGGUGCUUGCACCUGGUGGCGAGUGGCGGACGGGUGAGAAUGCAUCGGAACGUGCCGUAUAGUGGGGGAUAACGCAUCGAAAGGUGUGCUAAUACCGCACACGCCCUGAGGGGGAAAGUGGGGGACCGUAAGGCCUCACGCUAUACGAGCGGCCGAUGUCCGAUUAGCUAGUUGGUGGGGGAAAGGCUCACCAAGGCGACGAUCGGUAGCUGGUCUGAGAGGACGACCAGCCACACUGGGACUGAGACACGGCCCAGACUCCUACGGGAGGCAGCAGUGGGGAAUUUUGGACAAUGGGGGCAACCCUGAUCCAGCCAUUCCGCGUGAGUGAAGAAGGCCUUCGGGUUGUAAAGCUCUUUUGUCAGGGAGGAAAUCCUUAGCGUUAAUACCGUUGGGGGGUGACAGUACCUGAAGAAUAAGGACCGGCUAACUACGUGCCAGCCGCCGCCGUAA